RNAcentral lists this long non-coding RNA (223 nucleotides) under Elaeis guineensis (African oil palm). RNAcentral's name for it is "long non-coding RNA (EGUI_LNC001931)". The record is from RNAcentral. Lineage: Eukaryota; Viridiplantae; Streptophyta; Magnoliopsida; Arecales; Arecaceae.
AUGGACAAUUGAAUCUGUACCCUUUGGACCUUUCAGCAUAUCCAACAAAAUAUCACUUAUAGUUCUUGGAUCCAGUUUCUUCUCUUGCGGAUUAUAAAUUCUUAUUUCAGACAGACAUCCCCAUACGCGCAUAUGUCGCAAACUUGGUUUCCAACCUUUCAAUAACUCAAAUCGUGUUUUAGGAACAGCCUAGGUUGGAAUCCGAUUUAAUAUAUAUGCUGCC